GCAAACAUCUUGGCUUCAGACACUGCUUCCAAAUACACUGACUGUCAAUUACUUGUGAAGAUGAAUUUAGAAAAGAAUCAAAACAUUAACUACAAGGAGAAGAAUUAACACUGAAAUGAAGAAUCCCCUGCUGCCAGCUAUCAUAAUGGUCAUGCUUCUAAGUUCAAGAAAGGCUGUUGCUCCAGCCAAGCAUAAAUUGCUUCACCUGCUGUUAAUGGAAGAUGACCUGUAUUUAAGACCAGUGGAUGAUGGAUGUGGAAUCUGAAGAUGAGAAGACAAAUUUAGGGUGGCAAGUGCUUCUGGAGGAUGUUUUCUUUUCUUUAAGAAGUGCUACACGCAAGCGUCAUGAGGACAUAGACUCUCUUGUUCACUGCCAUAUCAUAAGAAGAUCCAGAUGAUAUUCUCUUCACAAAGACAUUGAAAAAUAUUUGGUGGAAGGAGCAAGAACAUCUUUGGGAAGAAAUGUAGUGACUAUUCUCUGUGCUAAGAGAUGAUAGUAAGAGAUGAUGAAAUUGGAAUAGACUCCUGGGUUUCUACUGUGAUUAUAAAAAUAAUCUCACCAUAGGGAUCUUUGGCCAUGGCAAAUUGUUAUGAGGUCUCUUAGAUUGAAAUACCUGGACAGACCAUUAAUAAAUUACCAUUAAUAGAUGUUUCUUAAUAGCCCCAGAAGUGGUGAAGAGAGGCAUGGCCACUAUGAGAGAAAAUCUCUACUUAAGUCA
Molecule: long non-coding RNA, 719 nt
Filed under: Equus caballus (horse)
Lineage: Eukaryota; Metazoa; Chordata; Mammalia; Perissodactyla; Equidae
Description: lncRNA (ENSECAG00000042846.2)
Source: RNAcentral